Molecule: ribosomal RNA, 253 nt
Filed under: uncultured bacterium
Lineage: Bacteria
Description: partial 16S ribosomal RNA
Rfam family: Bacterial small subunit ribosomal RNA
Source: RNAcentral
UACGUAGGGUGCAAGCGUUGUCCGGAAUUAUUGGGCGUAAAGAGCUCGUAGGCGGUUUGUCGCGUCUGCUGUGAAAUCCCGAGGCUCAACCUCGGGCCUGCAGUGGGUACGGGCAGACUAGAGUGCGGUAGGGGAGAUUGGAAUUCCUGGUGUAGCGGUGGAAUGCGCAGAUAUCAGGAGGAACACCGGUGGCGAAGGCGGGUCUCUGGGCAGUAACUGACGCUGAGGAGCGAAAGCGUGGGGAGCGAACAGG